Molecule: long non-coding RNA, 355 nt
Filed under: Carica papaya (papaya)
Lineage: Eukaryota; Viridiplantae; Streptophyta; Magnoliopsida; Brassicales; Caricaceae
Description: long non-coding RNA (CPAP_LNC004814)
Source: RNAcentral
AAGGGCCCAAGAAUAAGUUUGCAAGAGCUUUUGUAGAAAAGGAAAUAGUUAUACAGGAUAACUAGAAAAAGAAGUGGAAAUUAGAGGAAAAGAAAAAUGAGUUAUCAAAAGAAUGCCAAAAAAAAGGACAGAAAAUGGAUAAGAAGCAAAUCAUAGUAAAGUCUAUCUCUCUAAAAGGAAAGGAGUUGUCCAAAUACUGCCAAGAAAGAGGUGGGCAGAAAAUGGAGAAGAAGCAAACUGUAGUGAAGUCCGUCUUCUAAAGAGAGAGUUUGAGAGUAGUUAUAUUGGGUGAUGCUGAUCUUAUCGUCAAAGCUCUUGGUGAUUGAGAGGAGACCUUUAAUGUGGGUUCAGAAGG